GCAUGUUUCUAAUUGAAACAACUAGCAGGAAAGAUCUCUUCCAUAAGGGAAAAUUUAUCAAGGUCAGUUUUGGUGUUACAUCACAGAACUAUGAUAUUUAGAAUGAUGGAAAAAAUAGGGUGAAGAGGUGUCUUCCAAAGGACUGAUAAUGUGCUCAGAUGAAUUAAACAUUGGAACAACUGUUUAAAAGUACACUGCCAUUUAUGAACUUGAAGUAGAAAGAAAGAAGAAGAAGAAGA
Molecule: unclassified non-coding RNA, 239 nt
Filed under: Hevea brasiliensis (rubber tree)
Lineage: Eukaryota; Viridiplantae; Streptophyta; Magnoliopsida; Malpighiales; Euphorbiaceae
Source: RNAcentral